UGCAAGUCGAACGAUGAAGCCGGAGCUUGCUCCGGUGGAUUAGUGGCGAACGGGUGAGUAACACGUGAGUAACCUGCCCUUGACUCUGGGAUAACUGCUGGAAACGGUAGCUAAUACCGGAUAUGACCUCGGAAGGCAUCUUCUGAGGUGGAAAGUUUUUCGGUCAAGGAUGGACUCGCGGCCUAUCAGCUUGUUGGUGAGGUAACGGCUCACCAAGGCAACGACGGGUAGCCGGCCUGAGAGGGUGACCGGCCACACUGGGACUGAGACACGGCCCAGACUCCUACGGGAGGCAGCAGUGGGGAAUAUUGCACAAUGGGCGAAAGCCUGAUGCAGCAACGCCGCGUGAGGGACGACGGCCUUCGGGUUGUAAACCUCUUUUAGUAGGGAAGAAGCGAAAGUGACGGUACCUACAGAAAAAGCACCGGCUAACUACGUGCCAGCAGCCGCGGUAAUACGUAGGGUGCAAGCGUUGUCCGGAAUUAUUGGGCGUAAAGAGCUCGUAGGCGGUUUGUCGCGUCUGCUGUGAAAUCCCGAGGCUCAACCUCGGGCCUGCAGUGGGUACGGGCAGACUAGAGUGCGGUAGGGGAGAAUGGAAUUCCUGGUGUAGCGGUGGAAUGCGCAGAUAUCAGGAGGAACACCGAUGGCGAAGGCAGUUCUCUGGGCCGUAACUGACGCUGAGGAGCG
RNAcentral lists this ribosomal RNA (687 nucleotides) under uncultured bacterium. Its description in RNAcentral is "bacterial SSU rRNA". It matches the Rfam family "Bacterial small subunit ribosomal RNA", at positions 56 to 755 of the family's 1533-position model. The record is from RNAcentral.